This 508-nucleotide ribosomal RNA is filed under the name Campylobacter hyointestinalis subsp. hyointestinalis. RNAcentral's name for it is "bacterial SSU rRNA". It matches the Rfam family "Bacterial small subunit ribosomal RNA", at positions 1 to 520 of the family's 1533-position model. Lineage: Bacteria; Pseudomonadati; Campylobacterota; Epsilonproteobacteria; Campylobacterales; Campylobacteraceae. The record is from RNAcentral.
UUUUAUGGAGAGUUUGAUCCUGGCUCAGAGUGAACGCUGGCGGCGUGCCUAAUACAUGCAAGUCGAACGGAGUAUUAAGAGAGCUUGCUCUUUUAAUACUUAGUGGCGCACGGGUGAGUAAUGUAUAGUUAAUCUGCCCUACACUGGAGGACAACAGUUAGAAAUGACUGCUAAUACUCCAUACUCCUUCUUAACAUAAGUUAAGUUGGGAAAGUUUUUUCGGUGUAGGAUGAGACUAUAUUGUAUCAGCUAGUUGGUAAGGUAAUGGCUUACCAAGGCUAUGACGCAUAACUGGUCUGAGAGGAUGAUCAGUCACACUGGAACUGAGACACGGUCCAGACUCCUACGGGAGGCAGCAGUAGGGAAUAUUGCUCAAUGGGGGAAACCCUGAAGCAGCAACGCCGCGUGGAGGAUGACACUUUUCGGAGCGUAAACUCCUUUUGUUGGGGAAGAACCAUGACGGUACCCAACGAAUAAGCACCGGCUAACUCCGUGCCAGCAGCCGCGG